RNAcentral lists this ribosomal RNA (497 nucleotides) under uncultured bacterium. RNAcentral describes it as "partial 16S ribosomal RNA". It matches the Rfam family "Bacterial small subunit ribosomal RNA", at positions 28 to 507 of the family's 1533-position model. The record is from RNAcentral.
GAUGAACGCUGGCGGCGUGCCUAAUACAUGCAAGUCGAGCGAACAGACGAGGAGUUUGCUCCUUUGACGUUAGCGGCGGACGGGUGAGUAACACGUGGAUAACCUACCUAUAAGACUGGGAUAACUUCGCGAAACCGGAUCUAAUACCGGAUAACAUGUUGAACCUCAUGGUUCAACAGUGAAAGACGGUCUUGCUGUGACUAAUAGAUGGUUCCGCGCCGCAUUAGCUAGUUGGUAAGGUAACGGCUUACCAAGGCAACGAUGCGUAGCCGACCUGAGAGGGUGAUCGGCCACACUGGAACAGAGACACGGUCCAGACUCCUACGGGAGGCAGCAGUCGGGAAUCUUCCGCAAUGGGCGAAAGCCUGACGGAGCAACGCCGCGUGAGUGAAGAAGGUCUUCGGAUCGUAAAGCUCUGUUAGUAGGGAAGAACAAAUGUGUAAGUAACUAUGCACGUCUUGACGGUACCUAAACAAAAAGCCACGGCUAACUACGUG